UUCCGGUUGAUCCUGCCGGAGGUCACUGCUAUUGGAGUUCGAUUAAGCCAUGCGAGUCGAGAGGGUUCGGCCCUCGGCAUACUGCUCAGUAACACGUGGAUAAUCUGCCCUUGGGUCAGGGAUAACCUCGAGAAAUUGAGAAUAAUACCUGAUAGUUAUGGAAUGCUGGAAUGCUUCCAUAUAAAAAGCUCAGGCGCCCAAGGAUGAGUCUGCGGUCUAUUAGGUUGUAGUGAGUGUAAGGGACUUACUAGCCUUCGAUGGAUACGGGCCUUGAGAGAGGUAGCCCGGAGAUGGGAUCUGAGACACGAUCCCGGACCCUACGGGGUGCAGCAGUUGCGAAACCUUCACAAUGUGGGAAACCACGAUGAGGAGAUUCCAAGUGCCAACACCCAGUGUUGGCUUUUCAACUGUCUAAAACGCAGUUGGAAUAAGGGCCGGGUAAGACUGGUGCCAGCCGCCGCGGUAACACCAGCGGCUCGAGUGGUGGCCUUUAUUAUUGAGCUUAAAGCGUCCGUAGCCUGUCUAGUAAAUCUCUGGGUAAAUCGAACGGCUUAACCGUUCGAAUGCCAGGGAGACUGCUAGACUUGGGGCCGGGAGAGGCUAGAGGUACUCCUGGGGUAGAGGUAAAAUUCCGUAAUCUUAGGAGGACCACCAGUGGCGAAAGCGUCUAGCUAAAACGGACCCGACGGUGAGGGACGAAGCCCUGGGGCGCGAACCGGAUUAGAUACCCGGGUAGUCCAGGGUGUAAACGAUGUGGGCUUGGUGUCGACAGUCUUACGCGGGCAGUCGGGUGCCGUAGAGAAAUUGUUAAGCCCACCGCUUGGGAAGGUACGGGUUGCAAGACUGAAACUUAAAGGAAUUGGCGGGGGAGCAC
RNAcentral lists this ribosomal RNA (874 nucleotides) under uncultured archaeon. RNAcentral's name for it is "bacterial SSU rRNA". It matches the Rfam family "Archaeal small subunit ribosomal RNA", at positions 1 to 879 of the family's 1478-position model. The record is from RNAcentral.